GAUGAACGCUGGCGGCGUGCCUAAUACAUGCAAGUCGAUCGAACAGACGAUGUGCUUGCUCCUCUGACGUUAGCGGCGGACGUGUGAUUAACUCGUGGAUAACCUUCCUAUACUACUGGCAUAACUUCGGGAAACCGGAUCUAAUACCUGAUAAUAUAUUGAACCGCAUUGUUCAAUAUUGAAUGACCGUUUUGCUGUCCCUUAUAGAUCCAUCCGCGGCGCAUUAUCUAGUUUGUAAGGUACCGGCUUACCAAGGCAACUAUGCGUAGCCGACCUGAGAGGGUGAUCGGCAACACUGGAACAGAGACACGGUGCAGAGAGCUACGGGAGGCAGCAGUAGGGAAUCUUCCGCAAUGGGGGAAAACCUGACGGAGCAAGGCCGCGUGAGUGAUGAAGGUGUUCGGAUCGAAAAACUAUGUUAUUAGGGAAGAACAAAAGUGUAAGGAAAUAUAGAGGCCUGGACGGUACCUAAGCAGAAAGCCACGGCUAAAUACGUG
This 497-nucleotide ribosomal RNA is filed under the name uncultured bacterium. Its description in RNAcentral is "partial 16S ribosomal RNA". It matches the Rfam family "Bacterial small subunit ribosomal RNA", at positions 28 to 507 of the family's 1533-position model. The record is from RNAcentral.